RNAcentral lists this unclassified non-coding RNA (352 nucleotides) under soil metagenome. RNAcentral's name for it is "partial contains 5.8S ribosomal RNA, internal transcribed spacer 2, and large subunit ribosomal RNA". The stretch from base 1 to 120 matches the Rfam family "5.8S ribosomal RNA", at positions 35 to 154 of the family's 154-position model. The record is from RNAcentral.
GAUGAAGAACGCAGCGAAAUGCGAUAAGUAGUGUGAAUUGCAGAAUUCAGUGAAUCAUCGAAUCUUUGAACGCACAUUGCGCCCGCCAGCACUCUGGCGGGCAUGCCUGUCCGAGCGUCAUUUCAACCCUCGCGCCGUCCCUCCAGGGGGCUCGGCGCGGUGUUGGGGGACACGGCCCCGGCCGCCCCCGAAAUGCAGUGGCGACCCCGCCGCGGCCCCUCCAGCGCAGUAAGCACGCUCGCUACGGGAGGCCCGGUGGACGCGUCCGCCGUAAAACGCCCAACUCUUCAGAAGUUGACCUCGGAUCAGGUAGGGAUACCCGCUGAACUUAAGCAUAUCAAUAAGCGGAGGA